Mustela erminea (ermine) is the source of this 525-nucleotide non-coding RNA. NCBI's taxonomy places the organism in Eukaryota, Metazoa, Chordata, Mammalia, Carnivora, Mustelidae. The record is from the annotation of a RefSeq genome assembly.
AUGGCCCAGACCAGACCAUUCACCAUUUCUUCCUCCCUCUAUUCUCAUGUAGAGAGAAAUCCGACUUUUGGGGUAGAGCAGAAAAGGAGGCCUGGGGCAGACCAGCCCAUAGUGGGGACCAGGGUCUGUGUCACCAUCGCCUGGAUUCCUGUCCUCCUCAUGCUCCUGUCUCACUGCACAGGAUCUUUGUCCCAGCCUGUGCUGACCCAGCCGCCCUCAGUCUCUGCAUCUCCGGGAACAACAGCCAGACUCACCUGCACCUUGAGCAGUGGCUUCAGUGUUGGCAGCUAUACCAUAUACUGGUACCAGCAGAAGCCAGGGACCCCUCCCAGGUAUCUCCUGUACUACUACUCAGACUCAAGUACACAGCUGGGACCUGGGAUUCCCAGUCGCUUCUCUGGCUCCAAGGACACCUCGGCCAAUGCAGGGAUUCUGCUCAUCUCUGGGCUCCAGCCUGUGGAUGAGGCUGACUAUUACUGUGCAUUUUGGCAUAGUACUGCUUGUCACAGUGACACACACAGAUGA